Molecule: long non-coding RNA, 569 nt
Organism: Plodia interpunctella (Indianmeal moth)
Lineage: Eukaryota; Metazoa; Arthropoda; Insecta; Lepidoptera; Pyralidae
Exons: 2
Source: RefSeq, a predicted model, not a curated record
AAUGUGAGCAAAGCCAUCCCAAUUAUCUUUUAUUUAUAGAAUGUGAUGAUGCCAUUAGAUGACAGUAGUCGUCAAAAUCAUGUAAGAUGAAUAAAAUCAGUGUACAUUAGUGUGUCCCAAGCUAUAAGUAAAACAUUUUUUUUUGAUACGCAUACCCUUUAUAUUUAUUCGGUUUGACCACAAAAGCCUAAAUAAUAAAUAUUAUAGUAAUACAUUAAUGUCAUCACGUGCUGACUUGACUUCAAAGUCGUGAAUUAGGAAUUAGUAUGGAAAUAAAAUCUAACUUAGUCUUAAUUUAGGAUUAGUAAAGAAAACAAUCAAUAAUAAUUUUUGCUUCAAGAAAUAAAGAAUUAUUACACCACGAAGCAGGGCUCUCUCCGAGAAAACUAUCAUCAAUGUUCAAACGAGAGAAAGACUUGCUUGAAGCUGAUGUAAAAACAUCAAUUUUUUUCUCAUACAACGAUCUGUCUAAUUCUUCUUUUGAAGGCUCACCUCAUCGUCAAAAAGCGAUAACACAGAUACUUCCUCGGUCAAAUACCAUAAAUGCUAAGUAAACUUCUUCAACACUG